AGUGAACGCUGGCGGUAGGCCUAACACAUGCAAGUCGAACGGCAGCACAGUAAGAGCUUGCUCUUACGGGUGGCGAGUGGCGGACGGGUGGGGAAUACAUCGGAAUCUACUUUUUCGUGGGGAUAACGUAGGGAAACUUACGCUAAUACCGCAUACGACCUACGGGUGAAAGCAGGGGAUCUUCGGACCUUUCGCGAUUGAAUGAGCCGAUGUCGGAUUAGCUAGUUGGCGGGGUAAAGGCCCAACAAGGCGACGAUCCGUAGCUUGUCUGAGGAUGAUCAGCCACACUGGAACUGAGACACGGUCCAGACUCCUACGGGAGGCAGCAGUGGGGAAUAUUGGACAAUGGGCGCAAGCCUGAUCCAGCCAUACCGCGUGGGUGAAGAAGGCCUUCGGGUUGUAAAGCCCUUUUGUUAGGAAAGAAAAGCAGCAGGUUAAUACCCCGCUGUUCUGACGGUACCCAAAGAAUAAGCACCGGCUAACUUCGUG
This 489-nucleotide ribosomal RNA is filed under the name uncultured bacterium. RNAcentral describes it as "partial 16S ribosomal RNA". It matches the Rfam family "Bacterial small subunit ribosomal RNA", at positions 29 to 507 of the family's 1533-position model. The record is from RNAcentral.